RNAcentral lists this ribosomal RNA (948 nucleotides) under Russula eccentrica. RNAcentral's name for it is "partial large subunit ribosomal RNA". It matches the Rfam family "Eukaryotic large subunit ribosomal RNA", at positions 36 to 960 of the family's 3401-position model. Lineage: Eukaryota; Fungi; Basidiomycota; Agaricomycetes; Russulales; Russulaceae. The record is from RNAcentral.
UAGCAUAUCAAUAAGCGGAGGAAAAGAAACUAACAAGGAUUCCCCUAGUAACUGCGAGUGAAGCGGGAAAAGCUCAAAUUUAAAAUCUGGCGGCCUUUGGUCGUUCGAGUUGUAAUUUAGAGAAGCGUCUUCCGCGCUGGACCGUGCACAAGUCUCCUGGAAUGGAGUGUCAUAGAGGGUGAGAAUCCCGUCUUUGGCACGGAUGCACCAGGGCUUUCGUGAUGCGCUCUCGAAGAGUCGAGUUGUUUGGGAAUGCAGCUCAAAAUGGGUGGUGAACUCCAUCUAAAGCUAAAUAUUGGCGAGAGACCGAUAGCGAACAAGUACCGUGAGGGAAAGAUGAAAAGCACUUUGGAAAGAGAGUGAAACAGUACGUGAAAUUGUUGAAAGGGAAACGCUUGAAGUCAGUCGCGUCGACCGAGACUCAGCCUCGCCUUGGCUUGGUGUACUUCUCGGCCGACGGGUCAGCGUCAAUUUUGGCCUUCGGAUAAUGGCAGGGGAAAGGUAGCACCUUUACGGGUGUGUUAUAGUCUCUUGUCGCAUGCGAGGGUCAGGAUUGAGGAACUCAGCACGCACCUUUUGGUGUCGGGGCCUUGGCCCACGCCACGUGCUUAGGAUGCUGGCGUAAUGGCUUUAAACGACCCGUCUUGAAACACGGACCAAGGAGUCUAACAUGCCCGCGAGUGUUCGGGUGGAAAACCCGUGCGCGUAAUGAAAGUGAAAGUUGGGACCCCUGUCGUGGGGGGCACCGACGCCCGGACCAGACCUUCUGUGACGGAUCUGCGGUAGAGCGUGCAUGUUGGGACCCGAAAGAUGGUGAACUAUGCCUGAAUAGGGUGAAGCCAGAGGAAACUCUGGUGGAGGCUCGUAGCGAUUCUGACGUGCAAAUCGAUCGUCAAAUUUGGGUAUAGGGGCGAAAGACUAAUCGAACCAUCUAGUAGCUGGUUCCUG